RNAcentral lists this transfer RNA (69 nucleotides) under Tenebrionoidea sp. 13 KM-2017. Its description in RNAcentral is "tRNA-Gln". Lineage: Eukaryota; Metazoa; Arthropoda; Insecta; Coleoptera. The record is from RNAcentral.
UAUAUUUUAGUAUAUGAUGUACGAUGGUUUUUGAUACCAUUAGGGAUAGUUUGAUUCUAUUAAAUAUAG